GUUUAAUAAAAUAAGUUUAGUUUUUAAAAUUUACCGCCAAAAUCGUUUGCAAAUUGCGAACUUGCUUGCGAACUUGGUUCGGAAUUUCAUAACGAAUUUCGAUAAUUUGAUGCGAAACUUCCGAAUUUGAUUGGCCGGUUUCCAAUCAACUUGAUGAUCUCUUGUUUAUAGUUCCCAAAUUCCCAACCAACCUCGCAAUUGGCGUAACCAAAGUUUCGUGAAAUCAACUGUAAAAUAAGCUAUACAUAAAUAAUAAAUCCCGUAUACAAGUAAAACUCUCCUUUGUGCUUUUAUAUAAUAUUUGCCUUACUAUGUAAUGUACUAAAUUGCGAUAGAGAGGAAUCAAUUAGUCCACUAUACAAACUUUAAUACUUUUAAUAGUUUCCUUAUAAUAACACAUGACAUAAAAAUUUUGUCCCCAAUCAGUAUGCAUCACUUGAAAGUAGCUUGAAAAUGAUGAAGAAAUGACCUGGACAAUUUAUUCACAGCUCAUCUCAUUCCCAGGUCAUCGGGUAUUUUGUAUUUUUGUGUUACGACGUCACUAUUUGUGCUUAAGAUGGCA
Molecule: non-coding RNA, 562 nt
Organism: Paramuricea clavata
Lineage: Eukaryota; Metazoa; Cnidaria; Anthozoa; Malacalcyonacea; Plexauridae
Source: the annotation of a GenBank genome assembly